GAUGAACGCUGGCGGCGUGCUUAACACAUGCAAGUCGAACGGAAAGGCCAGUGCUUGCACUGGUACUCGAGUGGCGAACGGGUGAGUAACACGUGGGUGAUCUGCCCUGCACUUCGGGAUAAGCCUGGGAAACUGGGUCUAAUACCGGAUAGGACAAUGGUUUGGAUGCCGUUGUGGAAAGUUUUUUCGGUGUGGGAUGAGCUCGCGGCCUAUCAGCUUGUUGGUGGGGUAAUGGCCUACCAAGGCGUCGACGGGUAGCCGGCCUGAGAGGGUGUACGGCCACAUUGGGACUGAGAUACGGCCCAGACUCCUCAGGGAGGCAGCAGUGGGGAAUAUUGCACAAUGGGCGCAAGCCUGAUGCAGCGACGCCGCGUGGGGGAUGACGGCCUUCGGGUUGUAAACUCCUUUCGCUAGGGACGAAGCGUAUUUGUGACGGUACCUGGAGAAGAAGCACCGGCUAACUACGUG
Molecule: ribosomal RNA, 468 nt
Filed under: uncultured bacterium
Lineage: Bacteria
Description: partial 16S ribosomal RNA
Rfam family: Bacterial small subunit ribosomal RNA
Source: RNAcentral